GUAUCACCCUUUGUUAGGUAGACAUGAACUUUUCCUGCACAAAGCCUUGCUUUUAGAGAAUGCCCAAUAAGGCAAGAAAAAGCAUAGUAACUUGUGCUUUGAGAGCUCAAUAUUUGUAUCUUAUCAGUACAGAAGAAAUAUUUCUGUGUAACUUGAUCUUCUGUCUAGUACUUGUCUUAUAGGUAACCAACACUGAAAACUUUGUAGUGAUG
Molecule: long non-coding RNA, 212 nt
Filed under: Homo sapiens (human)
Lineage: Eukaryota; Metazoa; Chordata; Mammalia; Primates; Hominidae
Description: LHRI_LNC396.1
Source: RNAcentral